This 1260-nucleotide long non-coding RNA is filed under the name Equus asinus (donkey). RNAcentral's name for it is "lncRNA (ENSEASG00005032754.1)". The record is from RNAcentral. Lineage: Eukaryota; Metazoa; Chordata; Mammalia; Perissodactyla; Equidae.
GGGAAUCGGGAUUUUUAAAAGCUCCCCUCGUGGCGGGCCCCGUGGCCGAGUGGUUAAGUUCUCUCGUUCCGCUUCGGAGCGCCGGUUCAGAUCCUGGGCGCAGACAUGGCACCACUCAUCAGGCCAUCCUGUGGAGUCAUCCCACAUGCCACAACUAGAAGGACCCACAACUAAAAUAUACAAAUCAUCUCAAUAUGGUGAGAGAGCAGCUCAUUUACUCCUCUGACUUCGGUGGAACUGGAGUUGUGACAGUGGGGACUGCGAUAAUGCACACUCCCUGAACAACUGGGAGGAUGAGAAAAUGAUUUCAUUAGGAAGAAGAUUCCAAAUUGGAGGGUUAUAUUCAUUGACCUACAUAUCUGCUAAUCUGUGUAAUGGUUUAUGCAGGAAAUUGCAAUUGAAGAAAGAUCUUACAUCAUACCAAGAGCGGAGGUUCCAGAGACGUGAUUUUCAAUUUAUCAAGAUGGGCAAUGGAUACUUUCAGUGUUCCUUGAGUAACAGAAAUGGCUUUUUUAUUGGCUGAUCAAACAGAGGGAUCCCCACAGACACAAGGAUGCUUGAUGAUUGAUUUUCUACAGUCCUCCACCUAACAUAAUUUCUACCACUUACAUCAACAGUUGACUUCCACCCAACACUCUUCCUGAGCAUAUUUUAUUUUCUUUAUAGUACUCAUGAUUUGCCAAAUUAUCUUGUUUAAUACAUUUGUUUGUUCUUGAAAUCUGCCUUCUCCACAAGAAUAUAAACCCCGCAAGGACUGGUACCUGCUAUAUCUCUAUGUCUUUGAAAGUGCUUGGCAUCUAGUAGGGAUGAAAAAUAAUAUUUGUUCAAUGAAUCAUGAUGUGAUCAGCUUGGGGCCUUUAGAUAGUCAAGGUGAUUGUGUCACGGGUUAUUUGGUGACAGCUAUGUUCUUAACACUACAUAUUUUCUCUGAAAAGAAAUUCACCUGGAAAAGAAAAUACCCUAGUACAUUAGGCCGAUAAGUCUGUGCUAGGCAGAUUUCCUCGUCAAAGUGGUCCUCAGAUCAAGGCUCUGUGCCAUCUGUCCAGAGACGUUCCAUUGCUCAGGAGUCAGGGACAAGCACUUGUUACCCCCGAUGCUUUACUUUAAACAAAAUAAAAGCAUGCUGCAACUCCCACCCUAUGUACUCCCAGAGUAAGAUCUAGAAUUACAAAGCUCCAAGAGUUUCCAAUCUCAGUGGAAAAUUGGCUGUCACAUGGAACGAGAUAUAUACUAACUGAUUUUGCCAUGCAAUUGGGUUCU